GACGAACGCUGGCGGCGUGCUUAACACAUGCAAGUCGAACGGUAAGGCCCCAGCUUGCUGGGGUACACGAGUGGCGAACGGGUGAGUAACACGUGGGUGACCUGCCCCGCACUUCGGGAUAAGCCUGGGAAACUGGGUCUAAUACCGGAUAGGACCGCACCGUGAGGGUGUGGUGUAAAGUUUUUCGGUGUGGGAUGGGCCCGCGGCCUAUCAGCUUGUUGGUGGGGUAAUGGCCUACCAAGGCGGCGACGGGUAGCCGGCCUGAGAGGGUGGACGGCCACAUUGGGACUGAGACACGGCCCAGACUCCUACGGGAGGCAGCAGUGGGGAAUAUUGCACAAUGGGCGGAAGCCUGAUGCAGCGACGCCGCGUGGGGGAUGACGGCCUUCGGGUUGUAAACUCCUUUCACCAUCGACGAAGGUUUUCUGACGGUAGAUGGAGAAGAAGCACCGGCUAACUACGUG
RNAcentral lists this ribosomal RNA (464 nucleotides) under uncultured bacterium. RNAcentral's name for it is "partial 16S ribosomal RNA". It matches the Rfam family "Bacterial small subunit ribosomal RNA", at positions 28 to 507 of the family's 1533-position model. The record is from RNAcentral.